Molecule: ribosomal RNA, 864 nt
Filed under: uncultured crenarchaeote
Lineage: Archaea; Thermoproteati; Thermoproteota
Description: bacterial SSU rRNA
Rfam family: Archaeal small subunit ribosomal RNA
Source: RNAcentral
ACCCCACUGCUAUCGGGAUGGGACUAAGACAUGCUAGUCGAGUGACUCAGCCAAUACGAGUCACGGCACACAGCUCAGUAACACGUGGCUAACCUGCCCUUAGGACGAGAACAACCCCGGGAAACUGGGGCUAACUCUCGAUAGGCGAAGAACUCUGGAAUGAGUCUUCACCCAAAUAGUCCAGCGUUAUGCUCGUUGGAUCGCCUAAGGAUGGGGCCGCGACCGAUCAGGUUGUUGGUGAGGUAAUGGCUCACCAAGCCUUUUACCGGUGCGGGCCGUGGGAGCGGGAGCCCGGAGAUGGGCACUGAGACAAGGGCCCAGGCCCUACGGGGCGCAGCAGUCGCGAAAACUUUGCAAUAAGCGAAAGCUUGACAGGGCUAUCCCGAGUGCCAUCCGCUGAGGAAGGCUUUUACCCAGUCUAGAACGCUGGGGGAAUAAGGAGAGGGCAAGUCUGGUGUCAGCCGCCGCGGUAAUACCAGCUCUCCGAGUGGUGUGGAUGUUUAUUGGGCCUAAAGCAUCCGUAGCUGGCUAGGUUAGUCCCCCGUUAAAUCCACCGAAUUAAUCGUUGGAUUGCGGGGGAUACUACUUGGCUAGGGGACGAGAGAGGCAGACGGUAUUUCCGGGGUAGGGGUGAAAUCCUAUAAUCCCGGGAAGACCACCAGUGGCGAAGGCUGUCUGCUAGAACGCGCCCGACGGUGAGGGAUGAAAGCUGGGGGAGCGAACCGGAUUAGAUACCCGGGUAGUCCCAGCUGUAAACGAUGCAGACUAGGUGUUUGGACGGCCACGUGCCGUUCUAGUGCCGCAGGGAAGCUGUUAAGUCUGCCGCCUGGGGAGUACGAUCGCAAGAUUGAAACUUAAAGGAAU